AAAACAAUUACCAGCUCUCCGAGUGGUGUGGAUGUUUAUUGGGCCUAAAGCAUCCGUAGCUGGCUAAGUUAGUCCCCUGUUAAAUCCAACGAAUUAAUCGUUGGAUCGCGGGGGAUACUGCUUGGCUAGGGGACGAGAGAGGCAGACGGUAUUUCCGGGGUAGGGGUGAAAUCCUAUAAUCCCGGGAAGACCACCAGUGGCGAAGGCUGUCUGCUAGAACGCGCCCGACGGUGAGGGAUGAAAGCUGGGGGAGCGAACCGGAUUAGAUACCCGGGUAGUCCCAGCUGUAAACGAUGCAGGCUAGGUGUUUGGACGGCCACGUGCCGUUCUAGUGCCGCAGGGAAGCUGUUAAGCCUGCCGCCUGGGGAGUACGAUCGCAAGAUUGAAACUUAAAGGAAUUGGCGGGGGAGCACCACAAGGGGUGAAGCUUGCGGUUUAAUUGGAGUCAACGCCGGAAAUCUCACCGGGAGCGACAGCAGUGUGAAGGCCAGAUUAAAGGUCUUGCCAGACGAGCU
Molecule: ribosomal RNA, 515 nt
Filed under: uncultured archaeon
Lineage: Archaea
Description: bacterial SSU rRNA
Rfam family: Archaeal small subunit ribosomal RNA
Source: RNAcentral